GGAGGCUAACUGACACAGCAGCAUAGGUCUUCUCAGCCACCUGAACUUGGGGAACCUCUUACCAGGAGUUACUAUCUGAUUAGCAUCAUUCCCUGUGUAAUGGUGACAGAAUCAAGGUCCCUGCAUGCUAAAUUGUGACAAAGAGUUGGUAUCAUUUGAGCUCCUGGAACAGUUCCUGAUGCAGCUUCAGCACAAAGCAGGAGAUGGACAAAAAAAUAUGUUUUCAAUAAAUACCCAAAGACGUGAGUGAAGACAGCUACAUUAGAAUGUUGAAGUAUAGGAUGGGGAUUCCCCUAAUCAAAUCAAACAGGGAAGACUCCUUAGUUGUUUCAUCUGCUCAAGGGGGUUAAUAUCUCCUUCAUAGGGAUGUUCUGAGAAUGAAAUUAUAUGAUAGAUGAAAAGUACUUAGCACAAUGCUGAGCACAAAAUGAGCACUUAGUACGCUGUUCCAUUAUAAGCUGCAAACUCCACAUAAAGUGGUUUCUUAGAUACAACAAACCAUGUCUCUGAGAACAGAGGGGCAGUUGUUCUCCUGAAAUUAAA
Molecule: long non-coding RNA, 543 nt
Organism: Prionailurus viverrinus (fishing cat)
Lineage: Eukaryota; Metazoa; Chordata; Mammalia; Carnivora; Felidae
Exons: 3
Source: RefSeq, a predicted model, not a curated record